Molecule: ribosomal RNA, 490 nt
Filed under: uncultured bacterium
Lineage: Bacteria
Description: partial 16S ribosomal RNA
Rfam family: Bacterial small subunit ribosomal RNA
Source: RNAcentral
AUUGAACGCUGGCGGCAGGCCUAACACAUGCAAGUCGAAUGGUAACAGGAAACAGCUUGCUGUUUCGCUGACGAGUGGCGGACGGGUGAGUAAUGUCUGGGAAACUGCCUGAUGGAGGGGGAUAACUACUGGAAACGGUAGCUAAUACCGCAUAACGUCGCAAGGCCAAAGAGGGGGACCUUCGGGCCUCUUGCCAUCAGAUGUGCCCAGAUGGGAUUAGCUAGUAGGUGGGGUAACGGCUCACCUAGGCGACGAUCCCUAGCUGGUCUGAGAGGAUGACCAGCCACACUGGAACUGAGACACGGUCCAGACUCCUACGGGAGGCAGCAGUGGGGAAUAUUGCACAAUGGGCGCAAGCCUGAUGCAGCCAUGCCGCGUGUAUGAAGAAGGCCUUCGUGUUGUAAAGUACUUUCAGCGGGGAGGAAGGGAGUAAAGUUAAUACCUUUGCUCAUUGACGUUACCCGCAGAAGAAGCACCGGCUAACUCCGUG